UACAGAGGUCUCAAGCGUUGUUCGGAUUCAUUGGGCGUAAAGGGCGCGUAGGCUGCGGGGUAAGUCGGGUGUGAAAUCUCAGGGCUCAACCCUGAAACUGCACUCGAUACUGCUCUGCUUGAGGACUGGAGAGGAGACUGGAAUUCACGGUGUAGCAGUGAAAUGCGUAGAUAUCGUAAGGAAGACCAGUGGCGAAGGCGGGUCUCUGGACAGUUCCUGACGCUGAGGCACGAAGGCCAGGGGAGCAAACGGG
This 253-nucleotide ribosomal RNA is filed under the name uncultured bacterium. RNAcentral's name for it is "partial 16S ribosomal RNA". It matches the Rfam family "Bacterial small subunit ribosomal RNA", at positions 524 to 776 of the family's 1533-position model. The record is from RNAcentral.